ACAACUAAAUAACAUAAUACACAAAACAAAACAAAAUCCACAAUAAAUAAAAAAUAAAAAAAAAAAAACAAAAAAACAAAAAACAGGAGCUCUGGUGUUGGGUUUGAGGGAUAGGAAAAUCAAUUACUCAUCCUGGUCUGGUCCUGCAGCUGAAUUCCCCACCACAACCCACCCUGCUGUAGGGAAAGAGGGAAUUAAUCACGGAUAUUAGACUGAAGCGAGCCCAUCCCAGCCAGUCCUGCCCAGCUGCGGCGUUGUCUCCAUUUCAGUGCCCAUCCCUCCCAAACUCCCAGCCCUGGUCUCCAGGAGACUGUAAACAAUCAGCUGAACCCGAUGCUCCUUUUUCCAGCAUUGUGUCCCGCCCGGAGCAGGCACGCUCUGCUUUCUGCCACCUCCCCUGCCAUGACAAAUUUAGACAGCUUGGGUCGUGUCCUCCCAGCUGGGCGAUGACACCAGGCUCCUGCUCAGCAAAUCUGCCUGGAGCAAUCGAGGGUGGGAAGAUGCGUUUGGAAUUCUGCUCUCGAGGUCUCCUUGAACGCUGAUCUCUGGGAGCUGCCAGGAGCAUCCUCUGCGGCAUCUCCUGGUGACCCAUGGCAGCUCCACGGGGUCUGUGCCACCUCCACGGGGUCUGUGCCACCUCCACGGGGUCUGUGCCACCUCCACGGGGUCUGUGCCACCUCCCCGGGUCUGUGCCACCUCCACGGGGUCUGUGCCACCUCCUGGUGACCCAUGGCAGCUCCACGGGGUCUGUGCCACCUCCUGGCGAUCCGUGUCAGAUCUCUGCAGGCGCGCAGCUGAUGCAGAGGCAGGAGCAGCUCUUCACUUUCCCCGCAGCAGGACAGCCCCAGCAUGGGGGGAGCAUCUCCCUGCCCGCCACGGAUUUCCCACAAAGAACACGGAGCAUCUCCUGUCUAGCCAAGGGGGGGCUGGUGUCACUCCUCAGCUCCUGUGGCCCACCAGGGAUCAUCUCCACAAGCUGUGCUGAUGUUCCUGAAGCACGGAAGAGGGGAAAGCUGCUGGGAUGCCAGAGAGCUGCACGUUCUGGGAAGAACAAGAAGCCAACAUUAAACAGUAAAAAAGGGAGCUGGGAGCCAAA
RNAcentral lists this long non-coding RNA (1096 nucleotides) under Chloebia gouldiae (Gouldian finch). Its description in RNAcentral is "Erythrura gouldiae (Gouldian finch) lncRNA (ENSEGOG00005014888.1)". Lineage: Eukaryota; Metazoa; Chordata; Aves; Passeriformes; Passeridae. The record is from RNAcentral.